AUUGAACGCUGGCGGCAUGCUUUAUACAUGCAAGUCGUGCGGCAGCGCGGGGGCAACUCUGGCGGCGAGCGGCGAACGGGUGAGUAAUACAUAGGAACGUAUCCUGAAAUGGGGGAUAGCUCGGCGAAAGCCGGAUUAAUACCGCAUACGCUCCACGGAGGAAAGCAGGGGAUCGCAAGACCUUGCGUUUCUGGAGCGGCCUAUGUCUGAUUAGCAGUUGGCGGGGUAAUAGCCCACCAAGGCGACGAUCAGUAGCUGGUCUGAGAGGAUGAUCAGCCACACUGGGACUGAGACACGGCCCAGACUCCUACGGGAGGCAGCAGUAGGGAAUUUUGGACAAGUGGGGCAACCUGAUCCAGCCAUGCCGCGUGAGUGAAGAAGG
This 382-nucleotide ribosomal RNA is filed under the name uncultured bacterium. RNAcentral describes it as "bacterial SSU rRNA". It matches the Rfam family "Bacterial small subunit ribosomal RNA", at positions 30 to 414 of the family's 1533-position model. The record is from RNAcentral.